RNAcentral lists this ribosomal RNA (1008 nucleotides) under Triticum aestivum (bread wheat). Its description in RNAcentral is "partial small subunit ribosomal RNA". Lineage: Eukaryota; Viridiplantae; Streptophyta; Magnoliopsida; Poales; Poaceae. The record is from RNAcentral.
AUGUAUCCAUUUCCACCUCCACAUACCUCAGGUUUCCAUGCAGCACAUGGAGUGUAUGGAGGAGGUUCAUAUGGUCAUUCAUCUUCUGCAGCCGCCGGCUUCACCGGGAUUGAUCCACAUGCUAGGAUCAACCAAGAUGCCGGAUAUUUUCAUUAUUCGCCUCAGCCUCCUGCAUCAAUACAUAGGGCAGAAGAAGUAGAUCAGCAAGAGUCAAGUGGAAGUAGUCCCGGUGAAGCAGAAGAACCUAUUGCUAAGAGGAGAAAUUGGACAGAGGAAGAAAAUAAGCGGCUUGUCAAUGCUUGGUUGGAAAAUUCUCUCGAUCCAGUAGAUGGUAACUCCAAGAAAUCAGACCAGUAUUGGAAAGCAGUUGAGAAAGACUACAACAGCGUCACUCCGAAAGAGAGGCAAAGAUCUGCCAAGAUGUUGAAAGACCAUUGGAGUAAGCAAAACAAAUUUGUGACUCAGUUUGCUGGGUGUCAUUCCGUGCAACGCAGUGUGUAUCCUAGUGGGUAUGAUGACAAUAUGUUUAUGGAUAUGGUAAGAGCAGAUUACAAGGAGAAAUACAAAAAAAGAUUCACGCUAGAAUAUUGGUGGGAUAUGGUGAAAGAAAUGCCAAAGUGGAAAAAUACUUACUUACUAGAGAAGGAUGAAGCGAGAAAGAGAGGCAAGACCUCAGAAACAGGGGCUUACAUUUCUUCUUCUAGUAAAGGACAGAAGGGCGCAAAACGCAAAGGAAAGGCACCAGCAAAGGCCGACUCUUCUUCAAGCAACCUGCCAGAUCCAACUAUGCAACUAUAUCAUGAUGCCAUAGCAAGAAAAUCAGAAGCAAGAAAGGAGAAGGCAUCUGCAAUGAAAGAUUACACUGCUGCCACACUUGAGAAGGCAAGAACCAAAAAAUUGAGCAAGUAUAUGAAGUUACUGGAGAUAGACACAUCCGGAUAUGAUGCAGCAAAGCUACAGCGAUAUAACCAGCUUCUGAAUCUUCUAGGCAUGGAGCUAUCUAUUUAA